This 671-nucleotide long non-coding RNA is filed under the name Homo sapiens (human). RNAcentral's name for it is "HSALNT0306081". The record is from RNAcentral. Lineage: Eukaryota; Metazoa; Chordata; Mammalia; Primates; Hominidae.
CGGCAAACAGUUGACAUCAAAAUUGGAAUCAGCCUGAGGACCUCAACAGAUGCACCUGCCCAAUCUUAAACUUUCCAGCAAUCUGAAUUGUGAGCCAAAUAAUUUUUUUAUAAAUUAUCCAGCUUCAAGUAUUAUACCAACAAAAAAAAGGAAAUGCAAUGAGUCAAUAUACUUACUGAGAUUGCAGAAGAGACUGAACACUGCGCUAGGCUCUGAAGAGAAAGAUGAAAAAGAAGAAAGUGCUCCUGAGUAUAUGACUACUUGUACUUGCUAGCACUGAGGCAAGUACAAACUCUAGGCAUCAGGCUUUUGGUCUCACUCUUAGCGAAUUUGAACACUGGCUUUUUUGUUGGGCUUCCAUUCUUCUCUCAGCGCAAGAAUACCAACGUUUAUGACCCAGGAAGCACCAACUUAUACUUCACAGAGCUAAGAAACAGCAUUUCGCCAUGUCACGCAGGCUGGUCUUCAACUCCUGGACUCAAGCUAUCCACGGGCCUCGGCCUCCCAAAGUGCUAGGAUUACAGGCAUGAGCCACUAUGUCCGGCUUGGAGUUUUUAGUCUCAUCAAACCAACUCACCCAAAUGUCCCUUGGUGACAAAAAGUUUUCUGAAAGAUUAAGUAAUCUUUGUUUCCCAAGCCUGACAAAAUAAAAAGUUUUCUGUCUCUCUCUU